CGCGCUCCCGUGUAACUGGCUGCGGGAUGACGGUCACGCUCUGCUGGAGACGGAGGGGAGUGAGCUCACGGGGCUUCCCCACGGGGCCCAACAUUUUACUGGUUUCAAGACUCACCAGUAGUUAUGUCUUUUUCUUUGACUGAAAUGAAGACUAACAGCUGGAUGAGAUACCAGAGCAGACCCAUCCGUUUCGAACGCUUCUAAACCAGCGGCUUCCAGCGUUUCUCAAGCUGGGAAUCAAUCCCCUGUCACCAUCUUCCAAAACUGCCUGUGACAUUUGUUAAUUCUUUUUAACCAAUGGGGCAAAAACAUGUUUAAUAAGACGUUUUGGGAAAUGUUAAAAGCAUUUGUAGGGAAAAACAAAGUUUAGGAAAAAUGGUUUUGAUUCAGGUUCCAGAG
Molecule: long non-coding RNA, 399 nt
Organism: Equus quagga
Lineage: Eukaryota; Metazoa; Chordata; Mammalia; Perissodactyla; Equidae
Exons: 2
Source: RefSeq, a predicted model, not a curated record